RNAcentral lists this ribosomal RNA (418 nucleotides) under uncultured bacterium. RNAcentral describes it as "partial 16S ribosomal RNA". It matches the Rfam family "Bacterial small subunit ribosomal RNA", at positions 354 to 765 of the family's 1533-position model. The record is from RNAcentral.
UGGGGGAAUAUUGGACAAUGGGCGAAAGCCUGAUCCAGCCAUGCCGCGUGUGUGAAGAAGGUCUUCGGAUUGUAAAGCACUUUAAGUUGGGAGGAAGGGCAGUAAAUUAAUACUUUGCUGUUUUGACGUUACCGACAGAAUAAGCACCGGCUAACUCUGUGCCAGCAGCCGCGGUAAUACAGAGGGUGCAAGCGUUAAUCGGAAUACUGGGCGUAAAGCGCGCGUAGGUGGUUCGUUAAGUUGGAUGUGAAAUCCCCGGGCUCAACCUGGGAACUGCAUUCAAAACUGACGAGCUAGAGUAUGGUAGAGGGUGGUGGAAUUUCCUGUGUAGCGGUGAAAUGCGUAGAUAUAGGAAGGAACACCAGUGGCGAAGGCGACCACCUGGACUGAUACUGACACUGAGGUGCGAAAGCGUGGG